AUGCAGAUGAAGACAGUCAUCGCAUCAACGCUAUGGAACUUCGAUGUGGAGGUGAUGGACGGGCAAACAAUCCAGCCCAAGCAAGCUUGUAUACAGCAGAUGAAAAAUGGGCUCAUAGUUAAGCUAAAGAAGCGGGAAAUGUAA
Molecule: ribosomal RNA, 144 nt
Filed under: Triticum aestivum (bread wheat)
Lineage: Eukaryota; Viridiplantae; Streptophyta; Magnoliopsida; Poales; Poaceae
Description: partial small subunit ribosomal RNA
Source: RNAcentral